CACUCACAGAUUUUAGGCCUAAGCCUGACGAAUUCCGAAUCACUACUCAAGCGAGAUUCCCUUCGUAUCCUGCCACAAUAAAUAUGCUUAGGACCAAACUUAAAUUCUGGAAAAUUAAACAUUUGAAAAUAAACACCCAAAUCUCUUCCGCUUAACCCACUACUCUAACUAGGGUUAAGCUCACCAGAUUUCCACCAAACUCCACCAUAACCUUAAUUCCUCAAUUCUAACAUUUUAGAAUAAAUAUCAAGGAAAUCUAACGGCCGGAUUUUCAUUCUAAUAACCGGCAAAAACCUUAAUCUUUUAAAAUCUCAAACCUUAACAAAACUCCUCCAAAAAUUCCAAACUAUACUUCAUUAGACUCCUCUCAUUAAAACAAACCCAAAAACCUGAAAAUCAACUUCCAAGUGGCGGUGCCGCCGCCUGCUCCGCCGGCAGCGGCGGCCGGUGGCCGUACUCCGGCGACGUCCAAUGCCUCCCAAAAUUUAACAGAAUAAUCCUCUCAUCAAGCACAACAACUUUCAUAACUAGCAUUUAGUCCAAUUCUAAGCUUAACUAGGGUAAUCAAAUCAAAACAUCCAAAAAUCCCCCAAUUCAAACCCUAGCCCGAAAAUCCUCUAACACACUUCAAAUUGGAUCAUUACCUUCUAGGGAAUUGUUGCACAUGGAGAGCUCUUCCUAACAAGACCCGAAUCACCGGUGAUGGCGGCCGGAGGAGCGAUUUUCGACGACCGGACUCCACAACACAGUCGGAGCUUCCGGGCGCUCUCUCUCCCUCACGGCGGCACUAGGGCGUCUCCCACCGGUCCAAGAAGAGAGCUGGGUCGACGGCCGACCGUUCGGGACCGGUGCGGCGGUCUGCGGCGGCCGGACGGCGACGGACGGGAUUGGGUUAUCCGGCGGGUCGGGAAGAGUUCAGGAGAGAAAGGAGAGAGAAGGGAGAGAGAAUGGGGUUUGGGCUCUCCAAAUCCUACCCGGUCCAACUUAAACCCACAACAAAUAAAGCCUACUAGAAUUUACCUCAUUUUACCAACAUAGAAACUUUCGUUAUUAGACCAUAACUUCUUC
Molecule: long non-coding RNA, 1068 nt
Filed under: Fragaria vesca (wild strawberry)
Lineage: Eukaryota; Viridiplantae; Streptophyta; Magnoliopsida; Rosales; Rosaceae
Description: long non-coding RNA (FVES_LNC004669)
Source: RNAcentral